RNAcentral lists this ribosomal RNA (497 nucleotides) under uncultured bacterium. Its description in RNAcentral is "partial 16S ribosomal RNA". It matches the Rfam family "Bacterial small subunit ribosomal RNA", at positions 28 to 507 of the family's 1533-position model. The record is from RNAcentral.
GACGAACGAUGGCGGCGUGCCUAAUACAUGCAAGUUGAGCGAUGAAGGGUGGUAAUUGUACCAACUGGGUGAGGAGCGAACGGGUGAGUAACGCGUGGGGCAUCUGUCUUUGAGUGGGGGACAACAUUUGGAAACGAAUGCUAAUACCGCAUAAAAACUUCAAACACAAGCUUUAAGGUUGAAAGAUGCAACUGCAUUGCGCAAAGAGCAUCCCGCGUUGUAUUAGCUAGUGGGUGAGGUACAGGCUCACCAAGGCGAUGAUACAUAGCCGACCUGAGAGGGUCAUCGGCCACAUGUAGACUGCAACACGGCCCACACUCCUCCGAGAGGCAGCAGUAGGGCAUCUUCGGCAAUGGACGAAAGUCUGACCGAGCAACGCCGCGUGAGUGAAGAAUGUUUCCGGCUCGUUGCACUCUGUUGGUAGAGAAGAACGUGAGUGAGCGUGGAAAGCUCAUCAUGUGACGGUAACUACCCAGAAAGGGACGGCUAACUACGUG